RNAcentral lists this ribosomal RNA (1417 nucleotides) under metagenome. Its description in RNAcentral is "bacterial SSU rRNA". It matches the Rfam family "Bacterial small subunit ribosomal RNA". The record is from RNAcentral.
AGAGUUUGAUCCUGGCUCAGGAUGAACGCUGGCGGCGUGCUUAACACAUGCAAGUCGAACGAAGCACUUAAGUUUGAUUCUUCGGAUGAAGACUUUUGUGACUGAGUGGCGGACGGGUGAGUAACGCGUGGGUAACCUGCCUCAUACAGGGGGAUAACAGUUAGAAAUGACUGCUAAUACCGCAUAAGACCACAGCACCGCAUGGUGCAGGGGUAAAAACUCCGGUGGUAUGAGAUGGACCCGCGUCUGAUUAGCUGGUUGGUGGGGUAACGGCCUACCAAGGCGACGAUCAGUAGCCGACCUGAGAGGGUGACCGGCCACAUUGGGACUGAGACACGGCCCAAACUCCUACGGGAGGCAGCAGUGGGGAAUAUUGCACAAUGGGGGAAACCCUGAUGCAGCGACGCCGCGUGAAGGAUGAAGUAUUUCGGUAUGUAAACUUCUAUCAGCAGGGAAGAAAAUGACGGUACCUGACUAAGAAGCCCCGGCUAACUACGUGCCAGCAGCCGCGGUAAUACGUAGGGGGCAAGCGUUAUCCGGAUUUACUGGGUGUAAAGGGAGCGUAGACGGUAUGGCAAGUCUGAUGUGAAAGGCCAGGGCUCAACCCUGGGACUGCAUUGGAAACUGUCGAACUAGAGUGUCGGAGAGGCAAGUGGAAUUCCUAGUGUAGCGGUGAAAUGCGUAGAUAUUAGGAGGAACACCAGUGGCGAAGGCGGCUUGCUGGACGAUGACUGACGUUGAGGCUCGAAAGCGUGAGGAGCAAACAGGAUUAGAUACCCUGGUAGUCCACGCCGUAAACGAUGAUUACCAGGUGUGGGGGGAUUGACCCCUUCCGUGCCGGAGUAAACACAAUAAGUAAUCCACCUGGGGAGUACGACCGCAAGGUUGAAACUCAAAGGAAUUGACGGGGGCCCGCACAAGCAGUGGAGUAUGUGGUUUAAUUCGACGCAACGCGAAGAACCUUACCAGGUCUUGACAUCAAGUGACAGUCUAAGAGAUUAGGCCUUCCCUUCGGGGACACAAAGACAGGUGGUGCAUGGUUGUCGUCAGCUCGUGUCGUGAGAUGUUGGGUUAAGUCCCGCAACGAGCGCAACCCUUAUCAUUAGUUGCUACGCAAGAGCACUCUAAUGAGACUGCCGUUGACAAAACGGAGGAAGGUGGGGAUGACGUCAAAUCAUCAUGCCCUUUAUGACCUGGGCUACACACGUACUACAAUGGCGUUUAACAAAGAGAAGCAAAGCCGCGAGGCAGAGCAAAUCUCCAAAAAACGUCUCAGUUCGGAUUGUAGGCUGCAACUCGCCUACAUGAAGUCGGAAUUGCUAGUAAUCGUAGGUCAGCAUACUACGGUGAAUACGUUCCCGGGCCUUGUACACACCGCCCGUCAAACCAUGAGAGUUGGCAACACCCGAAGUCGGUA